AGAUAAUAGAUACCCGGUAGUCCACGCCCUAAACGAUGUCGACUGGGUGUUGGGGAAGCGAUUUCCCAGUACCGUAGCUAAACGCGUGAAAGUCGACCGCCUGGGGAGUACGGCCGCAAGGUUAAAACCUCAAAGGAAUUGACGGGGUACCCGCACAAGCGGUGGAUGAUGUGGAUUAAUUCGAUGCAACGCGAACAACCUUACCUACCCUUGACAUGUCCGAGAGCCUGCUGAGAGGUGGGUGUGCCCGAAAGGGAAUCGGAACACAGGUGCUGCAUGGCUGUCGUCAGCUCGUGUCGUGGGAUGUUGGG
Molecule: ribosomal RNA, 311 nt
Filed under: uncultured bacterium
Lineage: Bacteria
Description: bacterial SSU rRNA
Rfam family: Bacterial small subunit ribosomal RNA
Source: RNAcentral